This 24-nucleotide microRNA is filed under the name Mus musculus (house mouse). RNAcentral describes it as "mmu-miR-7236-5p". Lineage: Eukaryota; Metazoa; Chordata; Mammalia; Rodentia; Muridae. The record is from miRBase by way of RNAcentral.
CCUAAAACUGUGUGGUCCAAUGCC